Molecule: ribosomal RNA, 449 nt
Filed under: uncultured bacterium
Lineage: Bacteria
Description: partial 16S ribosomal RNA
Rfam family: Bacterial small subunit ribosomal RNA
Source: RNAcentral
AACGAACGCUGGCGGCAGGCUUAACACAUGCAAGUCGAGCGCGCAGUUUGCUGCGAGCGGCAGACGGGUGAGUAACGCGUGGGAAUCUACCCAGAACUACGGAAUAACAUGAAGAAAUUUGUGCUAAUACCGUAUACGCCCUUCGGGGGAAAGAUUUAUUGGUUUUGGAUGAGCCCGCGUUGGAUUAGCUAGUUGGUAGGGUAAUGGCCUACCAAGGCGACGAUCCAUAGCUGGUCUGAGAGGAUGAUCAGCCACACUGGGACUGAGACACGGCCCAGACUCCUACGGGAGGCAGCAGUGGGGAAUAUUGGACAAUGGGCGCAAGCCUGAUCCAGCCAUGCCGCGUGAGUGAUGAAGGCCUUAGGGUUGUAAAGCUCUUUCACCGGUGAAGAUAAUGACGGUAACCGGAGAAGAAGCCCCGGCUAACUUCGUGCCAGCCGCCGCCGUAA